AGAAUCAACGCUGGCGGCGUGCCUAACACAUGCAAGUCGUACGCGAAAGUCCCGCAAGGGAUGAGUAGAGUGGCAAACGGGUGAGUAACACGUGGGUGACCUGCCUUCGAGUGGGGGAUAACGUCCCGAAAGGGACGCUAAUACCGCAUGACAUCCUGCUUUUAGAAAGCGGAGAUUAAAGCCGGGGAUCGCAAGACCUGGCGCUUGAAGAGGGGCCCGCGCCUGAUUAGCUAGUUGGUAGGGUAAUGGCCUACCAAGGCUACGAUCAGUA
RNAcentral lists this ribosomal RNA (271 nucleotides) under uncultured soil bacterium. RNAcentral's name for it is "partial 16S ribosomal RNA". It matches the Rfam family "Bacterial small subunit ribosomal RNA", at positions 26 to 285 of the family's 1533-position model. The record is from RNAcentral.